This 484-nucleotide ribosomal RNA is filed under the name uncultured bacterium. RNAcentral's name for it is "partial 16S ribosomal RNA". It matches the Rfam family "Bacterial small subunit ribosomal RNA", at positions 30 to 507 of the family's 1533-position model. The record is from RNAcentral.
AUUGAACGCUAGCGGGAUGCUUUACACAUGCAAGUCGAACGGCAGCGCGGACUUCGGUCUGGCGGCGAGUGGCGAACGGGUGAGUAAUGUAUCGGAACGUGCCCAGUAGCGGGGGAUAACUACGCGAAAGCGUAGCUAAUACCGCAUACGCCCUACGGGGGAAAGCAGGGGAUCGUAAGACCUUGCACUAUUGGAGCGGCCGAUAUCGGAUUAGCUAGUUGGUGAGGUAACGGCUCACCAAGGCGACGAUCCGUAGCUGGUUUGAGAGGACGACCAGCCACACUGGGACUGAGACACGGCCCAGACUCCUACGGGAGGCAGCAGUGGGGAAUUUUGGACAAUGGGGGCAACCCUGAUCCAGCCAUCCCGCGUGUGCGAUGAAGGCCUUCGGGUUGUAAGGCACUUUUGGCAGGAAAGAAACGUCGCGGGCUAAUACCCCGUGGAACUGACGGUACCUGCAGAAUAAGCACCGGCUAACUACGUG